Molecule: long non-coding RNA, 769 nt
Organism: Caretta caretta (loggerhead turtle)
Lineage: Eukaryota; Metazoa; Chordata; Testudines; Cheloniidae
Source: RefSeq, a predicted model, not a curated record
UGCAUCUUAAACAAGAAUGACAAGAGCUUUAGUCACCAUUCCUAUCAAGCUUGCUUGAAAGAUGGGAAGAAUAGAGGGAAAUACUCUAAUUAGAAGGCCUUCUACAAUGGAAAUGUAGCAUCCUACAGGACUAAGUCUGAGAGAUACCAUAUUGGCCUACAGGGGAUCCUUUGGUGACACAAAGGAAAUGCAGAGGCUUCUGUGUUGCCCCCCUGCCUGAUGUCCACUGCGCUGGAAGUGCAAAUUUUUAGUAUCACUUGAAGACUGUGUUUGAGGGAUGUUUCCUGGUCUUGCUUGCACACCAGGAGGCUAUCAAGGAAAGUGUGCAAUCAGAGUCAGAAUGGAAAAUCACAUUAAAGCAAGGUGGGGAAUGUUGGUUGGUUGGUUAACUAGUUAGCUGCCUAGCUGAGUGACUUCAGCAAAGGAGGAGGAAGAGCCUGCGUGAAUUCAAACAGAAAAAUUCUACAAGCAAGUGGAGGGAAGAUGUUUCUUUUGAUUCAGCAGACCGUGUAGAUUUUGGUGAUCAAAGACUGUAGCUGAGACUAGGUGAAUUCAAUCUAAGCUUUUGGAUACUCUGAGUUUCUUCUCACUGUUUCUGUGGGGACUGGUCUGUUUAGAUUUAUUUUUUUUCUUUAUGUUUUUGUAUAAUUUUAAUGUAUGUAGCUUAUCAAGUAGCAAAGUUAUAUUAUAAAAAUAUUAUUAUAAUUUGUUUCUUUUUCCUAAGCGUUUAUAAAGUUGGUAUUUAAGAAUUAAAUUCUUUUGGACUUGA